This 397-nucleotide ribosomal RNA is filed under the name uncultured bacterium. RNAcentral describes it as "partial 16S ribosomal RNA". It matches the Rfam family "Bacterial small subunit ribosomal RNA", at positions 523 to 918 of the family's 1533-position model. The record is from RNAcentral.
AUACGUAGGGGGCGAGCGUUGUCCGGAAUGAUUGGGCGUAAAGGGCGCGUAGGCGGCCCGGUAAGUCUGGAGUGAAAGUCCUGUUUUUAAGAUGGGAAUUGCUUUGGAUACUGUCGGGCUUGAGUGCAGGAGAGGUAAGUGGAAUUCCCAGUGUAGCGGUGAAAUGCGUAGAGAUUGGGAGGAACACCAGUGGCGAAGGCGACUUACUGGACUGUAACUGACGCUGAGGCGCGAAAGUGUGGGGAGCAAACAGGAUUAGAUUCCCUGGUAGUCCGCACUGUAAACGAUGAAUGCUAGGUGUAGGGGGUAUCGACCCCUUCUGUGCCGCAGUCAACACAAUAAGCAUUCCGCCUGGGGAGUACGGCCGCAAGGUUGAAACUCAAAUGAAUUGACGGGG